Molecule: ribosomal RNA, 334 nt
Filed under: uncultured eukaryote
Lineage: Eukaryota
Description: partial 18S ribosomal RNA
Rfam family: Eukaryotic small subunit ribosomal RNA
Source: RNAcentral
CCCUUAGAUGUCCGGGGCUGCACGCGCGCUACACUGACUGGCUCAGCGUGUGCCUACCCUACGCCGGCAGGCGCGGGUAACCCGUUGAACCCCAUUCGUGAUGGGGAUCGGGGAUUGCAAUUAUUCCCCAUGAACGAGGAAUUCCCAGUAAGUGCGGGUCAUAAGCUUGCGUUGAUUAAGUCCCUGCCCUUUGUACACACCGCCCGUCGCUACUACCGAUUGGAUGGUUUAGUGAGGCCCUCGGAUCGGCCCCGCCGGGGUCGGCCCACGGCCCUGGCGGAGCGCUGAGAAGACGGUCGAACUUGAUCGUUUAGAGGAAGUAAAAGUCGUAACA